UGCGCAGGCGGCCGUGUGUGUGAGGCGUGAAAGCCCGGAGCUCAACUCCGGAAUUGCACCUCAAACUACACGGCUAGAGCAUUGGAGAGGGUAGCAGAAUUCACGGUGUAGCAGUGAAAUGCGUAGAUAUCAGGAGGAACACCGGCGGCGAAGGCGGCCCUCUGGAUCGUUGCUGACGCUGAGACGCGAAAGCGUGGGGAGCAAACAGGAUUAGAUACCCUGGUAGUCCACGCCUUAAACGAUGGGUACUAGGUGUUCGGGGUGUUGACCCCCUGAGUGCCGCAGUUAACGCAUUAAGUACCCCGCCUGGGGACUACGGCCGCAAGGUUAAA
Molecule: ribosomal RNA, 332 nt
Filed under: uncultured bacterium
Lineage: Bacteria
Description: bacterial SSU rRNA
Rfam family: Bacterial small subunit ribosomal RNA
Source: RNAcentral